This 74-nucleotide transfer RNA is filed under the name Treponema sp. RNAcentral describes it as "tRNA-Arg". It matches the Rfam family "tRNA". Rfam says of the family: Transfer RNA (tRNA) molecules are approximately 80 nucleotides in length. RNAcentral also lists the same sequence under 1 other name. The record is from RNAcentral. Lineage: Bacteria; Pseudomonadati; Spirochaetota; Spirochaetia; Treponematales; Treponemataceae.
GCGCCUGUAGCUCAGCUGGAUAGAGCAACGGACUUCGAAUCCGUAGGUCGGGGGUUCGACUCCCUCCAGGCGCA